AUACAACCCAAACCAAAUGAGGAUCUUAGGAGAGAGACAGAGAAUGCUGCACAUGUGGCAGCAGGCAGUAAUCAAGCCAACCACAAACACCUGCAGAAGAUCUCACUCCAAACCCUUGGAGGGAAGACAGCAGAGAGGCACUGUGGGCUGUAACAAACAGAAAUUCAAUUCAACCUCAUUAACGCUAAACAUUUUUCUCUUGUGAAAACACACACUCGCACAGUGUCAAGCAUCGGGGUCCAAAAUCCCACACAUACAGUGCAGCAAGGCAGCAACCCGCCAUGCAGUGAUGGAAGACCUUGGGUGUUAGCCUUGGCGUCAGCAGGAGAAAUGCAGUCUGGGAGCAGUAUCUCAGAGACGGACGUCCUAGGAACCUAAAGGUGAACCUGUAAUUUGCCACAGUGAUGGAAACUUCUUCUCAAGGAAGUGAGCAACUACGGUGGCUUGGCAGUAACACACCAGACAUUAGAGUCCGGUCACGUCUUCAUCCAAACCUCCACACAAAAGACAUGAUCUUUCUUCCAGAUGUAGAGCAACAAUGAAAAGCCCAACACCAGAUAAGGGUCAAAGAAAGGGAGGUCUCAUUGAUCAAUUCCAGACUAGAAGUGGCUGCCUGGUUCGGGGAGCAUCUCAUUAUCUGUGAUGCAAAACAGCUGAAAACACAGCGCACUCUCACCUUUAGGGUCAGCGUGGUAAAUGACCAUGAAAGCCCCUGAAAACAGCUGAUGUUCACGCAGUCGAUGGUGAUCUCACGCUUGACUAGUACGCACGGCCUUGCAAAAAUAUUUACAUUUUGUCAUGUUCCAACCACAAACUUUGCUUCGCCACAGCUUCUGUGAGAACAAAAGGUACUUUAGAAUAACAAUAGUUUUUUAUAUUUUUGGAAAUCAAAGUCUGAAAAUUUUGGUUAUGCCAUUUGUACUCUUGCUCUGAUAAUUGUAAAUACAAUUCAGUGCAAAUUGCCAUGAAAGAUUGCCUGGAACAAAGCCAGAAUUGACAGAAAACAAUAAAAAAAAAAAAAAAAAUCUGAGUUUGCAGCAAAUCAUGAGCAGAGUAAACGUAUGAAACAAGAUGCUCUGGUCAGAUGACACACAAGUUGAAUGUUUUGGUGCUAUUCAAAACAUUGUAUUUUGGAAAAUCAAUGCUGCUCAUCUCAACAAACCAUCCCACUCUGAGUCAUGGUGCCAUUAAAAGCACAUACAAAUAAUUCAAUUAGAGAGUUUGAGUUUCUGCCUUUAGAUUUUUUUUUUUGUCUUGAAAGACACAAUAAAUAGAAAUCUGCACAGAUACAUGUUGGAUGUGCUUUUUAAAUGUAACAUCUCGGAAAAUGUUUAUAUUGAGGAAUUUGGAUUUUGCAUGAGCAAAACUUUAGAUAAAAAGAAAACUUCUUGAAGGAAAACGGUAUGCAUCAGCUUUAGGUUUCAGGCUCUAAUUAUUAAACAGAUUCACCUAUGGGAGCUGGAUUGCUCUAAAGUUAUAAAUAACAGUUUUGGGACAAGCAAGUUGUAGCGUGCUUUCUGAUAAGACCAAGUUAACUAGUUAAGCGCAGGGGGAAAGAGAUGAAUUCAUAUUUACUUAAUUGUAAAGAGGCUUUUCAGUGGAGUAGUACUUAGUCCUGCCAUAUCAGCAACAGAAUCACUGUCAUACAUUUUUCAUGAUAUUAUGAACUCCAUGGUCCUCUGACAUGCUUGAUCAGAAGAGCAGCAAAAUGGGUCAUAGUCACUCUGCAAGAGCAGCAGAGAUCUAAUGGCCUGGUGGGAGAAACCUUUAAAAGGACAGCUGUUAAUUAUGCACCUCAGCCUGCUGGCCUAAUGGAAGAGUGUCGAGAAGCCUGUGUGUACGACCAUGAAGGAGACGCACCACAAAUAUGACCCUCACAUUUCUGAAAUAUUUCAAUAAUCUCUGAACACAGCAGUUCUGUGAAAGAGUUGAAACUGUUUAAACGUAAUAUAAGCAUAUUUGUGUAUAAGAAAGGGCUGAUAAAGGUCCAGACCUAAAUCCAGCUGGGAGUUUGUGAUGAGACUUGAAGGCUCGAGUGUUUUUGAAUGGUAAUGGGCAGAUUGCAGUCUCUAGAUGUAACAAAGCUGGCAGAGUUGCAGCCCUGUAUGACUUGCAGCUGCAAUUGCAGUGAAAGGUGAUUACACAAAAUAGUCUAUUGACUGAGGUGAGCUGUAUGCAACGAUGCUUAUCUCUGCAGCAUAUAAAACUCCUAUUGUAACACGAGGUACAGUUUGUUUUCCUGCUGCCUGUUCCAUUUUUCUUUUCGGUUUCCUAUAGCCUAAACGCUUUUGGUUGGUGGAAUUAUUGUCUUUUGUAGAUUUGUUCCAUGGAUUACUGUAGCAUGGAAAAACUAAACAACACAUAAAUCCCAAGCAUAUGAACUAGAUUUAAGACUGCUGGAUUCCUGUUGUUAGAAGUCAUAAUAAAAUAAACACACAUUAAAUUGUAGAACCAAAUUUACUUCCCGACUUUAGCUAAUGACGCAAAAUAGACCAUCUAAAAAAUAAAAUAAAAUAAAAUGUAUGCAAUAAAUUGGUCUCAUGAAACAGAAAAAGAGUCAUUAGGACCACAUGUGGGGUCUCUCUUUUGUUUUGAGAAGCCGAACGCGGCAAGGGGCGGGGGGAAGCAGAACGACUCAGAAAGGGAGGUCCUCUGCGUGUUAAAAACAAAAAAAACACUAAAUCCUCUUGGGGGAGACAAAAUGUGGUGGAACUACAUCAGCCCCUCUCUCCUUCGUCUCCAGCAGGAUUCACUGAUCACCCAUCCUCCUCGUCUUUAGAUAAAUUCUGAUGUCAGGAAUAAGGCGCUCCUUUUAACUCAAUCCGCCGUCCACGAGGGAAUGUGAGCGCCGUUAGAGGUCAGCGCCACAAGCUGCCAUUCCUGUCACCUCAAAUGACAAUGGAUGACACUAAUAGCAGGAGGAACCAUAAAACUUUAUCAGAUUAGAAGCACAAUGAAAGCAUGACAUAUUACUACUGGCUAAAGACCACAGUGGGAAAAGUCAAAGAUAGCAUUUCGCUCGAGUUUUACUGCCGUUUUAUUGCCUCCUCUUGUUUAUCCUUCGGAGGCAUUCUCUGGGCUUCACUCUUCCCUGUCUUGUGUUUAUUCCUCUGUUUUCCCAUAGCUUUGUUUUGUAAGCAUGAUUACUUUGAAAUGAACAUGCUGACGUGCUCUCCUAUUGGUUUGCAUUUUUCUUCCAGUGUGUAAGCUGCCAUCCAGGGGAAAAUAAAUGGCAACCCCCCUCUCC
This is a long non-coding RNA of Poecilia latipinna (sailfin molly), 3247 nucleotides long. RefSeq lists it as uncharacterized. The transcript is spliced from 4 exons. The record is from RefSeq and is a predicted model, not a curated record. NCBI's taxonomy places the organism in Eukaryota, Metazoa, Chordata, Actinopteri, Cyprinodontiformes, Poeciliidae.